This 2040-nucleotide long non-coding RNA is filed under the name Pan troglodytes (chimpanzee). RNAcentral's name for it is "lincRNA". Lineage: Eukaryota; Metazoa; Chordata; Mammalia; Primates; Hominidae. The record is from RNAcentral.
AAACAGUUGAGAACAGACUCCACCUUGUGGGACAGUGGCAUUUCUGAAAGUUCAAAACAAUUCCCCGAGCAACUUUACCUCACAAUCUCAUUGGAACGGCUGCAUCUGUGGGGCCCUGGGAGAGACUCAGCAGCAGACAGGGUCUCCAGAGCACACGACAAGAGGAAGAAUGCAUGAAGGUCCACCGGCAGUCGAAUCAGCCAAAGCACAAGACAAACACAAAGUCUUGCUCUGUCGCCCAGGCUGGAGUGCAGUGGUGCGACCUUGGCUCACUGGUUUGGGGCAUGUUCCUGGGUGUGUCUGUGAGGAGCAAGAAAGCCAGUUCAAGUCCCAAAACCUCAAAAGUAGGGAAGCCGACAGGGCAGCCUUAAGUCUGUGGCUGAAGGCCUGAGAGCCCCUGGCAAAUCACUGAUAUAAGUCCAAAAGCUGAAGAACUUGGAAUCUGAUGCUGGAAUCUGAUCUUGGCCCAUCCUUGAAGAAUCUGGGGGGUAAUAAAUACCCUGAACAUUGAUGAACCCAAAGGGAAGCCAGAAGGUCAGAUGUCGGCUGUCGGGAAGAAAGGCUGGAUAGGAAAUAGGAAAAAGCAGGGCAAACAAGGAGCUUCAAGGACUGAGACCCUUAAGAACCACUUGACUCUGUCUCUCACCACCUCCAGCCUUGAUGACACGGUGACAUACAGAAGAACUGAUGCCCUUUGCUUUGAGCUGCACAAAAACCUGGCGCUGGACUUGGAGAAGCUGAAAGACAGGACCCGGCAGGAGCCUGAGGAGCUGCAGGCUGCUAGCCUGUAGACCACCGUGCUGUGUUAGCCGCUGCAGCUGGGACCAUUCUGACACUCAGAGCCUGGAAAUGGCUGCUCCCUCCUGCCUGCUAUCCAAGUAUCCUGUGGAUACUUGGCUUUUCUCUUGUGGGCAACACUAACCUGAAACUCUUUGGGGAAGGGAAUUGAGGAAAUGUAGUUCCAAGAUUAGCCAAUUUAACUCAGCAUAAACCCAUCACAGGGUUUGACUACAGAGUUAUAACUUUAUUCUGUAGGCAAUGAAAACAGAAGUUUUUGAAAAAGACAUCAAUUUGAUGAAAUUGAUAUUUUGGGGAAGAUUAAUCUUCUGCUGAGUAAAAUAUAACAGGUUGGAGGAAGAUGAAAAUGGAGAGAGUAGAGUGUAAUUAAAAGUUUGUUGGAGGCCGGGCACGGUGGCUCACGCCUGUAAUCCCAGCACUUUGGGAGGCCGAGGUGGGCGGAUCACCUGAGGUCAGGAGCUUGAGAUCAUCCCGGCCAACAUAGUGAAACCCUGUCUCUAAUAAAAAUGUGAAAAAUUAGCUGGGCAUGGUGGCGCACACCUGUAAUCUCAGCGACUCGGGAGGCUGAGGCAGGAGAAUCCCUUGAACCCAGGAGGCAGAGGUUGCAGUGAGCCAAGAUGGUGUGAUUGCACUCCAGCCCAGGGGACAAUGUGAGACUCUGUCUCAAAAAAAAAAAAAAAAAAAAAAGUUUGUUGUAGUAGUCCAGGUGUCCGGGUGUUGUUACCAGGGCACCCAUGAUGAAAUAACUGGGAGAGUCCUUUUUUCUGACUGGUUUUCUUCAGUCCCUUUAUCUACAGGCACAACUGCUGAAGAAACCAGAUGGCCUGGGAUGGCACCAGAGCUUUUUUACCCUUGACCAGAUACUAGAAGGAAUUAAGACCCCACAAGUGGGCACGAACUGGAACUGGCGACCCCUAGUUGCCUUCAGAUCAUUAACACAUCAUUAUAAUGCUAAAAUUCCCUGCCAUUUUGUGAACAUGGGUUGCAUGAAGACGUAAGUUUAUGAAUUGCCUCUGCACACCUAGAGUCCCACCCUGUACGGGCUAACAUUCCUCCCUACAUGCAUCCCCCCACAAACACACCCUGCCUCCCCCAGUCCUUAGAAACCCUAUGCCUGGCCGGGCGCAGUGGCUCACGCCUGUAAUCCCAGCACUUUGGGAGGCUGAGGCGGGCGGAUCACUAGGUCAGGAGAUCGAGACCAUUCUGGCUAACACGGUGAAACCCUGUCUUUACUAAAAAUCC